AUGGCGGUGUCGGUGCUGGCCAUCCUGCUCGCCUCUUGUGCCCUGGCGGCGGCGAGCUUCGACAAGGAGUUCGACGUCACCUGGGGUGACGGGCGCGGCAAGAUCCUCGACAACGGCCAGCUCCUCACGCUGGGGCUCGAUAAGGUCUCCGGCUCCGGGUUCCAGUCCAAGCACGAGUACCUCUACGGCAAGAUCGACAUGCAGCUCAAGCUCGUCCCCGGCAACUCCGCCGGCACCGUCACGGCCUACUACCUGUCGUCGCAGGGGCCGACGCACGACGAGAUCGACUUCGAGUUCCUGGGCAACGUCACCGGCGAGCCGUACACGCUGCACACCAACGUGUUCACGCAGGGGCAGGGCCAACGGGAGCAGCAGUUCCGCCUUUGGUUCGAUCCCACCAACGACUUCCACACCUACUCCAUCCUCUGGAACCCCAAGCACAUCAUCUUCAUGGUGGACGACAUGCCGAUCAGAGACUUCAGGAACCUGGAGGGAAAGGGCAUCGCAUUCCCCAAGAACCAGCCGAUGCGCCUCUACUCCAGCCUCUGGAACGCCGACGACUGGGCCACGCAGGGCGGCCGCGUCAAGACGGACUGGUCCCAUGCCCCGUUCUCCGCCUCGUACCGCGGCUUCAAGGCCGACGCGUGCGUGGUGACCGCGGGCGGCAAGCCGCACUGCGGCGCCAGCGUCGGCACGGAGGUCGCCCCUGGCACCGGCGCGGCUGGCGAGUGGUACAACCAGGAGCUGGACCUGACGCGGCAGCAGCGGAUGCGGUGGGUGCAGAGCAACUACAUGAUCUACAACUACUGCACCGACCCCAAGCGCUUCGCCCAGGGCGUCCCUGCCGAGUGCUCCAUGUAA
Molecule: ribosomal RNA, 861 nt
Filed under: Triticum aestivum (bread wheat)
Lineage: Eukaryota; Viridiplantae; Streptophyta; Magnoliopsida; Poales; Poaceae
Description: partial small subunit ribosomal RNA
Source: RNAcentral